UAAUACCGGAUAGAUCAAAGAUACUGGAAUGUUCUCUGGUCCAAAACUCCGGUGCCCAAGGAUGGGUCUGCGGCCUAUCAGGUAGUAGUGGGUGUAACGUACCUACCAGCCUACGACGGGUAAGGGUUGUGAGAGCAAGAUCCCUGAGAUGGAUUCUGAGACAUGAAUCCAGGCCCUACGGGGCGCAGCAGGCGCGAAAUCUUUACAAUGCAGGAAACUGCGAUAAGGGGACCCCGAGUGCCAGCAUCUAAUGCUGGCUGUCCAGCUGUGUAAAUAGCAGUUGUUAGCAAGGGCCGGGCAAGACCGGUGCCAGCCGCCGCGGUAACACCGGCGGCCCGAGUGGUAACCGAUUUUAUUGGGUUUAAAGGGUCCGUAGCCGGCCUGUUAAGUCUCUUGGGAAAUCUGGCGGCUCAAUCGUCAGGCGUCC
RNAcentral lists this ribosomal RNA (427 nucleotides) under uncultured archaeon. Its description in RNAcentral is "bacterial SSU rRNA". It matches the Rfam family "Archaeal small subunit ribosomal RNA", at positions 147 to 575 of the family's 1478-position model. The record is from RNAcentral.